UCUCCGUAGGUGAACCUGCGGAGGGAUCAUUACUGAGUGAGGGCCCUCGUGGUCCGACCUCCAACCCAUUGUUGUCCGACUCUGUUGCCUCGGGGGCGACCCGGCCUUCGGGCGUCGGGGCCCCCGGUGGACCACCCAACCCUGCAUCGUCGCGUCUGAGUCGAAAUAUAAAUCAAUCAAAACUUUCAACAACGGAUCUCUUGGUUCUGGCAUCGAUGAAGAACGCAGC
Molecule: unclassified non-coding RNA, 229 nt
Filed under: uncultured fungus
Lineage: Eukaryota; Fungi
Description: sequence contains ITS1, 5.8S rRNA gene
Rfam family: 5.8S ribosomal RNA (bases 181-229)
Source: RNAcentral